RNAcentral lists this ribosomal RNA (716 nucleotides) under uncultured bacterium. RNAcentral describes it as "bacterial SSU rRNA". It matches the Rfam family "Bacterial small subunit ribosomal RNA", at positions 90 to 815 of the family's 1533-position model. The record is from RNAcentral.
GGACAGCGGCGUAAGGGAGAGUAACGCGUGGACUACCUACCCCCGAGUCCGGGAUAGCUGCGGGAAACUGCAGGUAAUACCGGAUAACAUCUCCGGAUCAAAGGUGUGAUUCCGCUUGGGGACGGGUCCGCGUCCUAUUAGCUUGUUGGUGGGGUAACGGCCUACCAAGGCUACGAUGGGUACCGGGUGUGAGAGCAUGGCCCGGCUCACUGGGACUGAGACACUGCCCAGACACCUACGGGUGGCUGCAGUCGAGAAUCUUCGGCAAUGGGCGAAAGCCUGACCGAGCGACGCCGCGUGCGGGAUGAAGGCCUUCGGGUUGUAAACCGCUGUCAGAGGGGAUGAAAUGCCGGAGGGCUAUCCCUCCGGUUUGACAAAUCCUCAGAGGAAGGACGGGCUAAGUUCGUGCCAGCAGCCGCGGUAAGACGAACCGUCCAAACGUUAUUCGGAAUCACUGGGCUUAAAGGGUGCGUAGGCGGUCCGGCAAGCUGGGUGUGAAAGCCCUCGGCUCAACCGAGGAAUUGCGCUCAGAACUGCCGGACUCGAGGGAGACAGAGGUGAGCGGAACUUGCGGUGGAGCGGUGAAAUGCGUUGAUAUCGCAAGGAACACCAGUAGCGAAGGCGGCUCACUGGGUCUCUUCUGACGCUCAGGCACGAAAGCUAGGGGAGCGAACGGGAUUAGAUACCCCGGUAGUCCUAGCUGUAAACGAUGAGCA